UACGGGGGGGGCAAGCGUUGUUCGGAAUUACUGGGCGUAAAGGGCUCGUAGGUGGCCAACUAAGUCAGACGUGAAAUCCCUCGGCUUAACCGGGGAACUGCGUCUGAUACUGGAUGGCUUGAGUUUGGGAGAGGGACGCGGAAUUCCAGGUGUAGCGGUGAAAUGCGUAGAUAUCUGGAGGAAUACCGAUGGCGAAGGCAGGUCUCUGGGCCUGUACUGACGCUGAGGAGCGAAAGCGUG
RNAcentral lists this ribosomal RNA (240 nucleotides) under uncultured bacterium. RNAcentral's name for it is "partial 16S ribosomal RNA". It matches the Rfam family "Bacterial small subunit ribosomal RNA", at positions 524 to 763 of the family's 1533-position model. The record is from RNAcentral.